Molecule: ribosomal RNA, 1369 nt
Filed under: Acinetobacter baumannii
Lineage: Bacteria; Pseudomonadati; Pseudomonadota; Gammaproteobacteria; Moraxellales; Moraxellaceae
Description: partial 23S ribosomal RNA
Rfam family: Bacterial large subunit ribosomal RNA
Source: RNAcentral
GUUGUAUAGUCAAGUAAUUAAGUGCAUGUGGUGGAUGCCUUGGCAGUCAGAGGCGAUGAAAGACGUGAUAGCCUGCGAAAAGCUCCGGGGAGGCGGCAAAUAUCCUUUGAUCCGGAGAUGUCUGAAUGGGGGAACCCACCUACUUUAAGGUAGGUAUUGCAACAUGAAUACAUAGUGUUGCAAGGCGAACGAGGGGAAGUGAAACAUCUCAGUACCCUUAGGAAAAGAAAUCAAUUGAGAUUCCCUCAGUAGCGGCGAGCGAACGGGGAUCAGCCCAUUAAGUUAUGUGUGUUUUAGUGGAACGCUCUGGGAAGUGCGAACGUAGAGGGUGAUAUUCCCGUACACGAAAGGGCACACAUAAUGAUGACGAGUAGGGCGAGGCACGUGAAACCUUGUCUGAAUAUGGGGGGACCAUCCUCCAAGGCUAAAUACUCCUGACUGACCGAUAGUGAACCAGUACCGUGAGGGAAAGGCGAAAAGAACCCCUGUGAGGGGAGUGAAAUAGAUCCUGAAACCGCAUGCAUACAAGCAGUGGGAGCACCUUCGUGGUGUGACUGCGUACCUUUUGUAUAAUGGGUCAGCGACUUAUAUUCAGUAGCAAGGUUAACCGUAUAGGGGAGCCGUAGAGAAAUCGAGUCUUAAUAGGGCGUUUAGUUGCUGGGUAUAGACCCGAAACCAGGCGAUCUAUCCAUGAGCAGGUUGAAGGUUGGGUAACACUAACUGGAGGACCGAACCCACUGUCGUUGAAAAGCCAGGGGAUGACUUGUGGAUAGGGGUGAAAGGCUAAUCAAGCCUGGUGAUAGCUGGUUCUCCCCGAAAGCUAUUUAGGUAGCGCCUCGGACGAAUACCAUAGGGGGUAGAGCACUGUUUCGGCUAGGGGGUCAUCCCGACUUACCAAACCGAUGCAAACUCCGAAUACCUAUGAGUACUAUCCGGGAGACAGACUGCGGGUGCUAACGUCCGUAGUCAAGAGGAAAACAAUCCAGACCGCCAGCUAAGGCCCCAAAAUCAUAGUUAAGUGGGAAACGAUGUGGGAAGGCAUAGACAGCUAGGAGGUUGGCUUANNNNNNNNNNNNNNNNNNNNNNNNNNNNNNNNNNNNNNNNNNNNNNGAAGCAGCCACCCUUUAAAGAAAGCGUAAUAGCUCACUAGUCGAGUCGGCCUGCGCGGAAGAUGUAACGGGGCUAAAACUAUGUGCCGAAGCUGCGGAUGUAUACUUUGUAUACGUGGUAGGGGAGCGUUCUGUAAGCCGAUGAAGGUGUGUUGAGAAGCAUGCUGGAGGUAUCAGAAGUGCGAAUGCUGACGUGAGUAACGACAAAACGGGUGAAAAACCCGUUCGCCGAAAGACCAAGGGUUCCAGUCCAACGUUAA